This is a non-coding RNA of Podarcis lilfordi (Lilford's wall lizard), 156 nucleotides long. The record is from the annotation of a GenBank genome assembly. Lineage: Eukaryota; Metazoa; Chordata; Lepidosauria; Squamata; Lacertidae.
UUGUAAUGAUAAACCAAAUGAACAAGGUGUGUGAUGUGUGUGUAACUGUAUACUUAAUUUUACAGCUGUGUGUGAUCAUUCCAAAUUUCCAGAUAAUAGGAGAAAAUUUUGUGUGUGUGUGUGUGUGUGUGUGUGCGCGCGCGCUAUUAUCACUAG